AUGAGAGACACACAGAGAGAGGCAGAGACACAGGCAGAGGGAGAAGCAGGCUCCAUGAAAGGCGCAGGCGUGGGAUUCGAUCCGGGGUCUCCAGGAUCACAACCUGGGCUGAAGGUGGCACUAAACCAUUGAGCCACCCAGGCUGCCCCAAAUUUUCCUUUAAGCGUGGCUUUAGUUGCAUCCCCAAAGUUUCAAUUUCAUAAAUUCUCUUUCAGUUUUCAGUAUUUUUCUGACUUCCACUGUGAUUUACCCCUUUGACCCUGGGCUUAUUUAGAAAUAAUGUUUAUUUCUAGUAAUAGUUUUCUUAUUAAUUUGCAGCUUUAUUCUAAGUUGUCAGAACACAGUGUGUAUUAUCUUCAUAUUUUGAAAUCUGUUGAAACUUGUUUUAUGGCCCAACAUGGAGUCACUUUUCAUAAAUACUCCUGUGUAUUUAAGAAUAAUAUAUAUGCUGCAUAUUGUGCGGCAAUAGGUCUCUGUCCUAUGGACACCAAUCUGAUCAAGCUUGUUAAUGGUCUUGUUCAAAUCUUUUGUUUUACUGGUCUUUAAGUGCCUUUUUUUGUCCAUUAUUAAAGCAGUUACAUUAUUUACUGGAAAUUUAGAAUUAUUAUACUUUGUUGGUGAAUUAAGUAUUUUAUCAUUCUGAAAUAUUUCUCUUUAUCUCUUGGAAUAUCUUUUGCUCUGUAUCCUUUCUCUGAUGUUAAUUUAAUCACUAGGUUUUUUUUUGGUUAGUGUUUCCACAAUAUACCUUUUCCUAUCUAUCUCUAUUUGUUUGCUUUCAACCAUUUCUGUGUUCUCAUAAUUCAGUGUGUCUCUUGUAAAAUCAUAGUUUUUAAAAAUAAACUUGGCCAUCGAUGUUUAUAUAUUAAGAAAAGCAUUUUGUCACUAUAUAUAUAAUGUAUUUUGUGAUAUAUAUUUGUUCCAAAAUCUACCAUCUUCCUAUCAGAUUUAUGUUCAUCUUGCCUGAUCUAGGUCCUUUUUUUGCCCUCUUCUUUUUUGCCUCCUUUAGAAUUGACUCAAUAUUUUAAGAUAAUUUUCUUCCAUUAACUUGGCAGUUUUCAAUCUUCUACAAUUUUUGUUGGAGAGAUUACCAAACAGGCAUUAUUGAAUGUCAAAAGCUAAUUAUCAGGGUGCCUGGCUGGCUCAGUCGGUAGAGCACAAGACUCUUAAUCUUGGGGUUGUGAGUUUCAGUCCCAUACUUGGAGUAGAGAUUACAUUUAUAAUAAAUAAAUAAAUAAAUAAAUAAAUAAAUAAAUAGAAUCUUUUUUAAAAAGGCUAAUAUCAUUCAUACUUUUACUUCUAAAUGCAAGGGACCUUGGAGUAAUUUCACUUAAACCAUCCUGAUUACUGCUGAGAAUCUAAAAAAAUCUUUUAGUAUUUACAUUUUUUUUUUCAAAGAUUUUACUUAUUCACUUGAGAGACAAGGAGAGAGCAUGAGCAGAGGCAGAGGCAGAGGAAGAAGCGGACUCCCCACUGAGCAGGGAGCCCGAUGUGGGGCUUGAUCCCAGAACCAUGGGAUCAUACCUGAGCUGACAGCAGAUGCUUAACCGACUGAGCCACCCCGGUGCCCCCCUCUCUCUAUUUUUUAACAUCAUUUGGUAUUCUAUUCUGUUUAUUUUUACAUUUUUAAAAAUUGAAGUAGAGUUUAUCAUACAACCAGCUAAUGACACAAGUAAAUUCUUGUAUCAGUUAAUGACAGAGUGCUGAGUUUUUUCCAUAACACACCACUUUUGCUGUUGGAGAAAACCAACAUGAGCUGGGGUCUCAAGUAUGCUUUCAUACCGAGAAGGAAAUGAGGCUAAAGCCCUUGUAAUGGUAGCACAUACAAGUCUCAUCAGAUACAACCUAAAGGGGGGGGGGGGGAAGAAAAGCUGUAACAGCAGGAGUGAGUUAUCAAAGAAAGAAGCUGAUGGACUGUUUCAAUGAGAACAAUGAAAAAAGUGGACAGGGGACUAGGAAAAGCGGAGGUUACCCUGUGAAAGCAUCUUAAGGUAGAAAGGUGAGGCUCUUGUUUUUUAAGUGUUUCAGUUUACAAAGUAUUUUCACAUACUGGACCAUGAUGAUGGUAAAGGGGGCAGGAGUAAGGGAAGGGAGGCGGCUGACUGUGCACCUCUGUCAGUGCCCUGGUGGAAAGCAGGUCCAGAAGGGAAGGGAUGGCCAGGAAGGCCUAAAGGCCAUCGUAAAAACUAAAUCCUAAAAAAAAAAAAAAAAAAAACAACUAAAUCCAAACAGAAGGAAAAAUGUUGUGGGAAAUGGAAAUUUUUUUCUGGAUUCAGAGAUUUUCUAAAUGGAGGAACCACUUCUUCUGUACAGGCCUCAACCGUAGUCCUAGAUGGGUUGGCAGGGUCUUUAUAGGAGUUGCUCCGUAAGUGCAGAGUAUUACUGGUCGUACCGGGUGUUUCUGUAAUGUAUCUGCUAAUGAAGAUACCUUCUUCAGUGUUCUGUUACCAGCAUUGCUUCGGAGUCCUAUCAAUUUAUCCCUUCACAUACUAUUUCACUCAUUUGAGAAACACUUAUUAAAAUUUAUGCUAGGAACUAAGGAAACAGAUAAAAGACAUGGUCCCUGCUGCCAAGAAGUUGCUUGGCUUACUGAUGGAAUUUCCUAGUACCCCAUGUUGCUCUUGGUUAUGCAAACAUUGGAUUCCUAGAUUUUCGCUCAUGGUUAUUCCAUUUAGAAAAAGAGGCCUCCCGAAGGCUGUUCAUUGAGAUGGCUGUUCAGGUACUAGGUAUAAGUGCAGGUCUCAGGACAGAAUCUGAGUAACAACUGGGGCCCUUAUGCAGUGACAAGCCUGCAUGGCUUUCGCUAAAACCGUGCGAAAACAGCAAAAUGACAUCUUAGUUUUGCUUUUAAAUCCUAAUGACAGAAAAGGGAGUCAAAGAUCUGCUCAGGAAGGAAGAAAAAGGCUGUCACCUUUUUAAUAUCAAAAUCGGACGGGGACAUAGGGAGUGCUGAAGUUCAGAUGGCGUUAUGGCUCACAAGUUAAUUAGCCAAAUCAUUAGCCAAAUCAUAUUAAGCAUUCAGUUCCUCAGUUCCACUGGCCACAUCCUGAGUGUUCAAUAGUCAUGUGGAGUUAACGGCUACCACACUGGACAGCACAGAUACAGCACAUUUCCAUCACUGCAAACAGUAAAUGGAAUGGGUCUCUUAAAAAGGUUGCAAGUGUCAAUGGAUGUGGGGGGGAAAAAAAAAGGAAUUAUAAUUCAAUGGAAUGAGAGGUGUUUUUUUGUUUUGUUUUGUUUUUAAGUUCACUUGGAACUUUCUAGCAUGUAAUUAAGUCAAACAAUAAAGAUGGAGAUACACUUUCUUCUGGCUUUGGGUGUUUGGAUGACCAACUGUUGGAACUGUGUCUGUGGGGUAUGCAAGACGCUGCGCCCCUGUGUCCAGCUACCAGAUGGGCCUGGGGUCACUAACUGUGUCGUCUCCAGGUCUUCCAGGCGCUGCUUGAUGGAAAAGGCCCCUUCAAAGCAAAGCACCGAAAUAAGGAUGCACAUUCAUCCUGCAAUUUAACAAUUGGCCUGUCUGCCUACUAUUGGAUUCCAUAAUAUGAGAGAAAUCCCAUUGAACAAGAGGGUCCUUUUAUUCACGUGAUGAGACGUAAAGGUCUGCCCUUGACCUGAUCACACGAGAGGCACAGCAUGGAGUCAUUCUGCAGUGAUUUUGCUAAGUGCAACUUCUCUUGCUCACAUUGCCAUAGUAUGCUUUUCUACACUCCAUUUACUUGCUCAAAAUCCAAGUCAAUUUGAUACAUUCUACUGUUAAUCUUAAAACGCAAGACAGAUGUACACGGAAGGGUGCAGUAUUUCUUGCAUCAUGUGGAUAAAUGAGACCAGUAACAAUGUCAAACCUGUAACUGCGGCUAAAUGAGAUUGGUAGGCGCUAGUUUAUGUCUUCUGUCUACCCCCUGGUGGAGGGACUCAUUACAAGUUGUAGCCAAAGAAGGAAAAAGAAAGAGAAAAAAAAGCAUGAAUUAUUUCCUGAGUAUCUAUUCAGUCCCUCCCUCAAUAAUCUAGCGUUGGCUGUUUAUAGGAGAUUGCCAGCUCCGCAGGAGAAGAACUGAAACCCAUUAAUUCCCUUUGAACAUGUUCUUUCCUGGGAAUGUCAGGAGCAGAACAACAGCGGGAGGGCUGCCCUGCCAAAAUGCUUAACUCUGAACUCAAGGGGCCAUCACUCUGGGUGCAAAAAAAAAAAAAAAAAAAAAAAA
Molecule: long non-coding RNA, 4199 nt
Filed under: Canis lupus familiaris (dog)
Lineage: Eukaryota; Metazoa; Chordata; Mammalia; Carnivora; Canidae
Description: lncRNA (ENSCAFG00000054284.1)
Rfam family: tRNA (bases 1137-1194)
Source: RNAcentral